RNAcentral lists this unclassified non-coding RNA (431 nucleotides) under soil metagenome. RNAcentral describes it as "partial contains 5.8S ribosomal RNA, internal transcribed spacer 2, and large subunit ribosomal RNA". The stretch from base 1 to 120 matches the Rfam family "5.8S ribosomal RNA", at positions 35 to 154 of the family's 154-position model. The record is from RNAcentral.
GAUGAAGAACGUAGCGAAAUGCGAUACGUAAUGUGAAUUGCAGAAUUCAGUGAAUCAUCGAAUCUUUGAACGCAUAUUGCGCUCUCUGGUAUUCCGGAGAGCAUGCUUGUUUGAGUAUCAGUAAACACCUCAACUUCCAUAUCUUUUUUGAAAUGGGAGUUGGACUUGAGUGAUCCCAACGCUUUUCCUCACCGAAAAGUGGCGGGUUACUUGAAAUGCAGGUGCAGCUGGACUUUUCUCUGAGCUAUAAGCAUAUCUAUUUAGUCUGCCUAAAAAACAGAUUAUUACCUUUGCUGCAGCUAACAUAAAGGAGAUUAGUUCUUGUGCUGACUGAUGCAGGAUUCACAAAGACAGGCUUCGGCCGACUUUGUAAACUCGAUCUCAAAUCAAGUAAGACUACCCGCUGAACUUAAGCAUAUCAAUACGGAGGA